This 890-nucleotide ribosomal RNA is filed under the name uncultured bacterium. RNAcentral describes it as "bacterial SSU rRNA". It matches the Rfam family "Bacterial small subunit ribosomal RNA", at positions 8 to 916 of the family's 1533-position model. The record is from RNAcentral.
AGAGUUUGAUCAUGGCUCAGGAUGAACGCUGGCGGGCGUGCCUAAUACAUGCAAGUCGAAACGGAGAAUUAGCAAUAAUUCUUAGUGGCGAACGGGUGAGUAACGCGUUGGUGACCUGCCCCGAAGACCGGGAUAACAGCUCGAAAGGGCUGCUAAUACCGGAUGUGGACUGGAGUUUUAGAAUCUCUUGUCUAAAGGGGCAAUCCACUUUGGGAGGGGCCUGCGUCCCAUCAGCUAGUUGGUGAGGUAACAGCUUACCAAGGCGACGACGGGUAGGGGGCCUGAGAGGGUGACCCCCCACACUGGCACUGAAACACGGGCCAGACACCUACGGGUGGCAGCAGUAGGGAAUCUUGCACAAUGGGCGAAAGCCUGAUGCAGCAACGCCGCGUGCGCGAUGAAGGCCUUCGGGUCGUAAAGCGCUUUUCUGGGAGACGAGGAAGGACGGUAUCCCAGGAAGAAGGCUCGGCUAACUACGUGCCAGCAGCCGCGGUAAAACGUAGGAGCCAAGCGUUAUCCGAAUUUACUGGGCGUAAAGCGCGUGCAGGCGGCUCGAUAAGUUGGCUGUGAAAUCUCCUGGCUCAACUGGGAGAGGCCGGUCAAGACUGUCGGGCUGGAGGGCAGUAGAGGGAGGUGGAAUUCCCGGUGUAGUGGUGAAAUGCGUAGAGAUCGGGAGGAACACCAGUGGCGAAAGCGGCCUCCUGGACUGUACCUGACGCUCAGACGCGAAAGCUAGGGGAGCGAACGGGAUUAGAAACCCCGGUAGUCCUAGCCGUAAACGAUGUCGACUUGGCGUCGGUGGGGUAAAAGCCAUCGGUGCCGGAGCUAACGCGGUAAGUCGACCGCCUGGGGACUACGGCCGCAAGGUUAAAACUCAAAGGAAUUGACGG